Small nuclear RNA from Humulus lupulus (European hop), 139 nucleotides. RefSeq annotates it as U4 spliceosomal RNA. The transcript has a single exon. The record is from RefSeq and is a predicted model, not a curated record. NCBI's taxonomy places the organism in Eukaryota, Viridiplantae, Streptophyta, Magnoliopsida, Rosales, Cannabaceae.
AUCUAUGCGCUUGGGGCAAUGACGCAGCUGGUGAGGUUAUAACCGAGGCGCGUCUAUUGCUGUUGAAAACUAUUUCCAAAGCCCUCUUAGGCCCGUAUUUUACUCCUUCGAGAAUUUCUAGAAGGGCUCCCCUCGGGCC